UCUUAAGUAGUUUAUUUAAAAUAUUGAUUUGUGGUGUCAGAGAUGUAAAUUAUUACCUUGGGUA
Molecule: transfer RNA, 64 nt
Filed under: Rhipidolestes hiraoi
Lineage: Eukaryota; Metazoa; Arthropoda; Insecta; Odonata; Megapodagrionidae
Also listed under: 1 other name
Description: tRNA-His
Source: RNAcentral